GCCAGACUCCUACGGGAGGCAGCAGUGGGGAAUAUUGCACAAUGGGGGAAACCCUGAUGCAGCGACGCCGCGUGAGCGAUGAAGUAUUUCGGUAUGUAAAGCUCUAUCAGCAGGGAAGAAGAUGACGGUACCUGACUAAGAAGCCCCGGCUAACUACGUGCCAGCAGCCGCGGUAAUACGUAGGGGGCAAGCGUUAUCCGGAUUUACUGGGUGUAAAGGGAGCGUAGACGGCAGUGCAAGUCUGGAGUGAAAGCCCGGGGCUCAACCCUGGGACUGCUCUGGAAACUGUAAAGCUGGAGUGCGGGAGGGGCAGGCGGAAUUCCUGGUGUAGCGGUGAAAUGCGUAGAUAUCAGGAGGAACACCGGCGGCGAAGGCGGCCUGCUGGACCGUAACUGACGUUGAGGCUCGAAAGCGUGGGGAGCAAACAGGAUUAGAUACCCUGGUAA
RNAcentral lists this ribosomal RNA (446 nucleotides) under uncultured bacterium. RNAcentral's name for it is "bacterial SSU rRNA". It matches the Rfam family "Bacterial small subunit ribosomal RNA", at positions 330 to 793 of the family's 1533-position model. The record is from RNAcentral.